Panicum virgatum (switchgrass) is the source of this 3720-nucleotide long non-coding RNA. RefSeq lists it as uncharacterized. The record is from RefSeq and is a predicted model, not a curated record. NCBI's taxonomy places the organism in Eukaryota, Viridiplantae, Streptophyta, Magnoliopsida, Poales, Poaceae. The transcript is spliced from 3 exons.
AAAUACUAUGAUAUGUGUCACCAUGUAUUCAUGUAUGAUGGAAGAGAUAAAAAAAACCAAUUCACAAUAAAUGGUUCACUUAAAUAUAUAUGAAAUACACGUGGAGGCGUGACGCAAAAUGAAAUCUAUUGCCACUAGAUAAUGAUAAAUAUGUAUUUAGAGUAUGUUUUAGAAUAAUUAAUAGAUGAAAGAGGGCAUGAGAUAGAUAAUUAUAAUUUUUAGCUUUAAAUCUUAUUUUUAUUAGUCCAUGCGGGAGCACAUAGGCUUAUUUAUAAACACAAAAUGAAAGUUUUGAUUUACUCACUGUUUUUGCAUUUUUCUAUCAGUGCAUCAGCACCCCUUAAUUUCUAUAUUGCUUCGCCCCUUUCAGCAAUAUAAAUUGGAGCGUUGAUAAAAACAUAAAAUUGGACACUUCUAGAAGAACAUAUACAGAUUGUAUUGCGAGUAGAAGUAGAGCUAGAGCGCUUUGGGAGUAAAAGUUUUGGGCUGUUCUGGUGGUAGUUUGUGAGGAAAUUACGGUCAUGGAAUCUAGUCUUUUUGCUGCACCGACCAUGCACCAAAGACAAUGAAAAGUAGCCUUUUCAACUUACAUCUUAGCAUAUACGAACUUACCAACCAAUGCUUGUGGAAGCAUAAUUAGUAAAUUAUUAGCAGAGCGAAGUUACACACGGAACUUAAGUUUGCAUGACAUCAUUAAGAAACAAGCAGAAGUACAACAUAUUUUUCUCUCCAAUUCAGUUCGUUGGCAUAAUGAAGUAGUUUUAUCUUUUUCCAAGACAAUGUAAUCUUUAAUUACAACCAGAUUGGGUUCUAGCUCUUGCUGUGAAUGCGGUAAUAAGAUGUUGAAGGUGCCAUGGCGAACGGGCAGAAUAUUAUGGUUUCGGCACUUGUGGUCCAAGUGUUUUGGUGCCUCUGUGAUUAGUACCAUAUUGGUAAUCUAAGUAGGUUCUAUCUAGUUUAUAAGCCUUUGUGAUCCAACCAAAAAACCUUUGUGUUAACCAUUUGACAUGACAUGAGGAUGGAGCUAUAAGAGGUGAUUGCACCACUAGGUUUUACAAAAAACGAUGGAUAAAAGUUAAGAGAUGUGCUAUGCACUUGUGUGAGUGGGAAGUUAGGCUGAAUAUACUCUGUUCUUAACACAUUUGCCACGAAAAAAAAAAGCUAUUACUACAUUUGUAAGCUCCUAUUCAGUUAGCCUUUAGAUGAUUGAAGUGGUUUUGGUUCACUAUGCUUGGUACACACAUUUUUGGCUAAUUCUUUUGAAUUUUCAAAGUAAAGCAGCAAAUUCUGAUCCAAUCUAUAUAUUAUUAGCAGUGAUGGUUCUUAAACUAGAACGGAUUGUACAAAUAAGCGAUUAGUAUACACUCAGUUGACACAUAGAUGGUUAUUUAUAUGGAUGGUGAAAAUGCCUUCAUUUAUAAGUGGGUAUCGACUAUACAAAUUCAUUUCCAAAGUUGGUUUAGGAGCCCUCAGUCUGUAGUGAUCAUGCAUAUAAAAUUGCAACCACCAGUAUUAUAAAGUUGACAUGGCACUUCUGCACUUGUGCAAAAGUUAACUGUCCUUCCUUUAAAAACCGACUGUACUCUCCAGUUCUCUACAACUAGAAGCAGUCAAUCAAAACUAUGUGCCGUGCUGACCUUGUACAACUCGUCCUCUAUAUAUAUGCAUCUCUGUAAAGCAAGCUAUAUAUCAAAGUUACUCAUUCAUGAAGUGUUGGACAUACAUGAGACACACCUCGAUCUAUAGGCUUGGAAAGUACCGGGAACACCUAGCAUUUCUUUUGAAACAUAUGCACUGCUAAAAUAGAUGAUAUCUCUGCAGAGGGCGGCUGCUUGAGCAACAUACAUAUGUCAUCAACUACUCCAGGCUAUUUAGUGUGGAUAACUGUGAGUUCCCAGCACAUAGAAAGAUGAUGUUUGGGAUGUCGGUUAUAGAAGAAGAAACACCUGGUAUUGGAUAUAUUGCUAUAACAUAAAUGUUGUAGCGCAUAAAAGACGAGAGACAAUGCUCGUAACCUUCUUCCUGCAAAUAUACUAGAAAAAUAAACAUUUGUUCUAUGUUAUCCAUAAUUUUACUGUAACUUGAAGAUCCAAUAUAAGUGUCCUAAUCUUGGAAUAGAUAAGUGUGUAGCUAAAUGCUGGAUGAAGAAGUAACUAAGGCUAAACUAAGAAGAACACAGAUUUCAGAAUACAUAUAAAAAGUCUUUUAUUGGUACACUGCCUAGUAGUUCGAUGGAUGGUUGGUACAGAUCAAAGCAUAUUGCAAUUGCCCAUACCACAUACUCCCUCGGCUUCAAAAUUAGGCAUGCAUGUGAGCAUGUCGAACCAUCGUCAGUUUGACUAUGCUCAUAGAAAAUAAUAGCACGUUUAUGGUAUCAAAUUAGUAUUAUUGCAUCCUUAAUGAAAUUUAUUUUUCUAGUAUAUUUCUUUGAUGCGCUAGAUCUUGAUAAUAAUCUUCUAUCCAAACUCGGCCAAAUUCAGUAUAGUUUACAAAGCCUAGAAAUGCUUGUACUUGAGGACAGAGGAAGCAGCUAAUUCAGUAACAUGCACAUCACAAGGUAAUCUAAAAACUCUGAAUGCAGGAUAUGAGAAGGAUCUAUUGCAUCAAGUGGAAAAGUAUUCGCUGAGUUAAUAGUACUGUUGUUGUAGCCUUGUUGUUGUGUCUGGUUGGUUAUUAUGUGGAAUGUACUCUUACAAUUGUGGCAUUUUGUCAGGAAGCUUGAGAAAAGGUUCUUCUAUAUAUAUGAGUUUCAGUUCACAAUGUUACAACUGGUAAUUCAUUCAACAAACAAGAGUUGCCCCCUUUGUGCCGAGACAAGUAGGAUUGGAAGCCAUUGGGAAUAUUGGAUGGACUCUUUUUGGAUGAAUUGGAAGACUUAUGUGCUUUGCUCGCACACCGUCAUUCUCAGAGUCAAUUCAUUAGCCAUGAGUCUUCUUUUUCUUAUGAGAUGCAACUUGUGGCUGCAGAGAAACGAAUAUCGUCGCAGCUGGCCAGGCUUACGCGCUAGACCAAGAACCGGUAGCUGAAAUCCUUUGUCGGGCGACCAGGAUGGUAGUUACAGCUGAUUGCAAGUCACCCUAUGACUGACUGUCGUGCAAGGUGGUUGUCAACUGAAUCAGACGGUGCAAGUUAAAUUGAGAUGCAGAGCAGGGUAAAGCGCUUGCUUGUUCGUCAGUCCAGAGCUGUUGGUUCUCCACAUCAAGCGGCGCUAACUGUACGCCUCUCACAUUCUCCACUCUGUCUGAUCAAACAUUCCAUUUCUCACGCAUAUACAUAGGAUGGAGCGUCAUCAGGAGACAGACAACAAGUGACCAUGGGCUUUCUUGUUCCAUUCACUUCCAUGAUCCUGAGACAGUACUGUAACCAGCAACUGACGACGACAUGGAAAGUCUGCAAAUGGCAUUUUUACUCCUAUGUCAAAGAACUUUAUGUAAAUGCACAUAAUCUCUGCAGAUCGACUGAAACACAGUCAGUUUAUCACGCCAGCUCGGGCUGAAAGCGGUUUUGGGCUGGAGGGGGUUGGUCCGAGCUGGUCCCACUGAUGGGCUGAAAGUAGAUGUGGGCCAGUUCUGAAAAUGUGGUCCCAUGAGGAACAACUACUGAUAAAAGAGGUAGGGAAUUUGGCCUGGAAGCUGGAAUUGGUCUAGAAAAUUGUUUGGGGGUUUCUUUUUGGUGUGUUUGGAAUAUACAAAUUUGAACUGAAUUCAAAUAUAAACAAGG